This 605-nucleotide long non-coding RNA is filed under the name Homo sapiens (human). RNAcentral's name for it is "HSALNT0307181". The record is from RNAcentral. Lineage: Eukaryota; Metazoa; Chordata; Mammalia; Primates; Hominidae.
AAGGCCUGCCCUAGUUUCACCCACCCCAUCCAUCUCCCUGGGCACACCUGCUCCUGCCAUCGGCACUCCUACUAUCAUGGCUGCAUCUGGGGUUUGGAGUUCACAGAAACCUCUUAAAAAGGCACCCAAUUGCUCAACUUUGCUAAGCAGAUGAAGAGUGAAAUAAAUGUUGCUUCACCAGCUGGUUGUUAUAAAGGCCAGCAUCACAUCAGUGGAGACAGUCCAGCCUCCCAGCCAGCCCUAAAGACACAGGCACCAGGAAAGGACCAGGCUCUCCAAGCCCCGGCCAGGCAACUUUGGCCCCAGUGGGCUGGAUGGUGGGAUGCAAUGAACCAUCCAACUUGGUGACUAAGGCUCUUUCUAACCAUGGAGUGUGGACAAAGGGAAAGUCUGUCAUCAGCAGACAAAGGGCUGGAAACCAAAUGAAAAUGCAGCAUCUCCAGGCAAUUUCCUUAAAAUGGAUCAACUUGAAACAUUCUCUAUCACAGGACCAGUAGACAGGAGAGGAGCCAAAGAAGGAAGGACUGUGCGUGUCGGAGCAGACAAAGAAUUAAUAAAAGGGUCACUGAACCUGCUCUGAAUCUCAGAUGCAUCCUUCGUGAAGU